RNAcentral lists this ribosomal RNA (1094 nucleotides) under Pseudomonas sp. RNAcentral's name for it is "bacterial SSU rRNA". It matches the Rfam family "Bacterial small subunit ribosomal RNA", at positions 49 to 1145 of the family's 1533-position model. The record is from RNAcentral. Lineage: Bacteria; Pseudomonadati; Pseudomonadota; Gammaproteobacteria; Pseudomonadales; Pseudomonadaceae.
GACUACCUGCAGUCGAGCGGAUGAAGGGAGCUUGCUCUCUGAUUCAGCGGCGGACGGGUGAGUAAUGCCUAGGAAUCUGCCUGGUAGUGGGGGAUAACGUUCCGAAAGGAACGCUAAUACCGCAUACGUCCUACGGGAGAAAGCGGGGGAUCUUCGGACCUCGCGCUAUCAGAUGAGCCUAGGUCGGAUUAGCUAGUUGGUGAGGUAAUGGCUCACCAAGGCGACGAUCCGUAACUGGUCUGAGAGGAUGAUCAGUCACACUGGAACUGAGACACGGUCCAGACUCCUACGGGAGGCAGCAGUGGGGAAUAUUGGACAAUGGGCGAAAGCCUGAUCCAGCCAUGCCGCGUGUGUGAAGAAGGUCUUCGGAUUGUAAAGCACUUUAAGUUGGGAGGAAGGGUAUUCACCUAAUACGUGAGUAUUUUGACGUUACCGACAGAAUAAGCACCGGCUAACUUCGUGCCAGCAGCCGCGGUAAUACGAAGGGUGCAAGCGUUAAUCGGAAUUACUGGGCGUAAAGCGCGCGUAGGUGGUUCGUUAAGUUGGAUGUGAAAGCCCCGGGCUCAACCUGGGAACUGCAUCCAAAACUGGCGAGCUAGAGUACGGUAGAGGGUGGUGGAAUUUCCUGUGUAGCGGUGAAAUGCGUAGAUAUAGGAAGGAACACCAGUGGCGAAGGCGACCACCUGGACUGAUACUGACACUGAGGUGCGAAAGCGUGGGGAGCAAACAGGAUUAGAUACCCUGGUAGUCCACGCCGUAAACGAUGUCAACUAGCCGUUGGGAUCCUUGAGAUCUUAGUGGCGCAGCUAACGCAUUAAGUUGACCGCCUGGGGAGUACGGCCGCAAGGUUAAAACUCAAAUGAAUUGACGGGGGCCCGCACAAGCGGUGGAGCAUGUGGUUUAAUUCGAAGCAACGCGAAGAACCUUACCUGGCCUUGACAUGCUGAAAACUUUCCAGAGAUGGAUUGGUGCCUUCGGGAACUCAGACCCAGGUGCUGCAUGGCUGUCGUCAGCUCGGGCCUGAGAUGUUGGGUUAAUUCCCGUACGAGGGCAACCUUGGCCUUAGUUCCCGCCGUUUUGGGGGGACCCUUAGG